This 543-nucleotide ribosomal RNA is filed under the name Paraburkholderia caledonica. RNAcentral describes it as "bacterial SSU rRNA". It matches the Rfam family "Bacterial small subunit ribosomal RNA", at positions 61 to 596 of the family's 1533-position model. Lineage: Bacteria; Pseudomonadati; Pseudomonadota; Betaproteobacteria; Burkholderiales; Burkholderiaceae. The record is from RNAcentral.
GUCGUACGGCAGUACCCAGAGCAAUCCUGGUGGCGAGUGGCGAACGGGUGAGUAAUACAUCGGAACGUGUCCUGUAGUGGGGGAUAGCCCGGCGAAAGCCGGAUUAAUACCGCAUACGAUCUGCGGAUGAAAGCGGGGGCUCCUUCGGGACCUCGCGCUACAGGGGCGGCCGAUGGCAGAUUAGCUAGUUGGUGGGGUAAAGGCCUACCAAGGCGACGAUCUGUAGCUGGUCUGAGAGGACGACCAGCCACACUGGGACUGAGACACGGCCCAGACUCCUACGGGAGGCAGCAGUGGGGAAUUUUGGACAAUGGGCGCAAGCCUGAUCCAGCAAUGCCGCGUGUGUGAAGAAGGCCUUCGGGUUGUAAAGCACUUUUGUCCGGAAAGAAAACCUCUGGGUUAAUACCCCGGGGGGAUGACGGUACCGGAAGAAUAAGCACCGGCUAACUACGUGCCAGCAGCCGCGGUAAUACGUAGGGUGCAAGCGUUAAUCGGAAUUACUGGGCGUAAAGCGUGCGCAGGCGGUUCGCUAAGACAGAUGUG